This 421-nucleotide long non-coding RNA is filed under the name Phoenix dactylifera (date palm). Its description in RNAcentral is "long non-coding RNA (PDAC_LNC012300)". Lineage: Eukaryota; Viridiplantae; Streptophyta; Magnoliopsida; Arecales; Arecaceae. The record is from RNAcentral.
CCCAAAGAAGUGUUGGACCUUCACUUUAUCCCAUCUCCACUCCUAUGGAUUGAAGAGAUUGCACAUCCUAAGGCCCGAGCUCUCCACAUCAACCAAUGUGGGCCAUAGUUGAUAGAAAGAUCAGACACCCACAUAUCAUUCAACACAUCUAUCGACUGGCCAUCACCGACUACCCACCGAAUCUGAGUCGUCACCUCUAGAGCAUGAGAGCACAUCUCCUGCCAAAUAAAGGAGCUGCACCGGUUAGCCUGGAAGUCUGGCGCCAUGGCCUGGUCACCGUACUUAGCCUUCAUUAACGAGCUCCAUAGGCUAUCCAGCUCAAGCAAGAACCAAGCGACAUGUCUGGCCGCCAUAGCCUCCCUCCUUAUCAGCAAAGAAUAGAUCCCAGACCCCCAUAGCCUCGGGGCUGAUAUACCACCUC